Molecule: non-coding RNA, 121 nt
Organism: Cutaneotrichosporon oleaginosum
Lineage: Eukaryota; Fungi; Basidiomycota; Tremellomycetes; Trichosporonales; Trichosporonaceae
Source: the annotation of a RefSeq genome assembly
GACUGCUUGGCCAAGAGGUAAGGCGUGGUCUUCCGGUCACGUGAUAUGGAGCCUCCUCCUGGGAGAGUUCGAUCACGCGGAGGUGUGGCCAAGAUCGUCGGUUCGAUCCCGGCAGUAGUCU